This 72-nucleotide transfer RNA is filed under the name Syntrophothermus lipocalidus DSM 12680. It matches the Rfam family "tRNA". Rfam says of the family: Transfer RNA (tRNA) molecules are approximately 80 nucleotides in length. Their secondary structure includes four short double-helical elements and three loops (D, anti-codon, and T loops). Further hydrogen bonds mediate the characteristic L-shaped molecular structure. tRNAs have two regions of fundamental functional importance: the anti-codon, which is responsible for specific mRNA codon recognition, and the 3' end, to which the tRNAs corresponding amino acid is attached (by aminoacyl-tRNA synthetases). tRNAs cope with the degeneracy of the genetic code in two manners: having more than one tRNA (with a specific anti-codon) for a particular amino acid; and 'wobble' base-pairing, i.e. permitting non-standard base-pairing at the 3rd anti-codon position. The record is from Rfam by way of RNAcentral. Lineage: Bacteria; Bacillati; Bacillota; Clostridia; Eubacteriales; Syntrophomonadaceae.
GGGCGAGUGGCGAAGAGGCAACGCUGCGGUCUGCAAAACCGCCAUUCACCGGUUCGAAUCCGGUCUCGCCCU